UCCGGUUUAACACCGGCAGUCUCCGUAGAGUGCCCAACUAAAUGGUGGCAACUACGGACAAGGGUUGCGCUCGUUAAGGGACUUAACCCGACAUCUCACGAUACGAGCUGACGACAGCCAUGCAGCACCUGUCUCCCAGUCCCCGAAGGGAAAGCCCUAUCUCUAGGGAUGUCUGGGGAUGUCAAACCCUGGUAAGGUUCUUCGCGUUGCAUCGAAUUAAACCACAUGCUCCACCGCUUGUGCGGGCCCCCGUCAAUUCCUUUGAGUUUUAACCUUGCGGCCGUACUCCCCAGGCGGCGAACUUAACGCGUUAGCUUCGACACUGAGAGCCUAAUUGCUCCCAACGUCCAGUUCGCAUCGUUUAGGGCGUGGACUAC
This 377-nucleotide unclassified non-coding RNA is filed under the name uncultured Pseudomonadota bacterium. Its description in RNAcentral is "uncultured proteobacterium contains 16S-23S intergenic spacer region". Lineage: Bacteria; Pseudomonadati; Pseudomonadota. The record is from RNAcentral.